Osmia bicornis bicornis is the source of this 1569-nucleotide long non-coding RNA. RefSeq lists it as uncharacterized. NCBI's taxonomy places the organism in Eukaryota, Metazoa, Arthropoda, Insecta, Hymenoptera, Megachilidae. The transcript has 5 exons. The record is from RefSeq and is a predicted model, not a curated record.
UUCAAGAGCCUGUUGCACUUCUCGGAUGCACCGAGGCGCCUGAAUGCAGUUCGCCCGGUCUUCAGCCUUGCAGUUUCAGCAACUUUGGCCCUUUCUCUCAUUCAAUGGUGGCCGCGCGUGACGUGGAUGCAAGAACAUCGUUUUCACCUUGCCACCAUCGACGAAACCCUUUGCGGUACAGGGUGUCCCAUCCUGGUACAAUUGGAAUAAAUAAAUCAAGAACCCUCUCGUCCAACCAUUGCACUUGUGAAUUCCGAACAUUUCACCUGGCCCGACGACCCGAUGACCCUCCACGUCAAGUACCUGGAUCCCAAGCCAGCCUCGAACCACGAAAAUGAGAGGAAGACCAAUGGAACUUCGAAAUCAGUUAGAUGAUUCUGUAGAAGAAAGUCGGCCACCAUUGAACGUGUAAAACUUGAUACGCAUGGUAUAUUAGCAGGUUGAACGUAGCCUGGAGAAAUGAACAACGAGGUUCAAUUUUAUUAUUGAACAUAGCAGAGGAAGGCGGAGCGGCCUUUGAACGAGACAGAAACGGAGAUCAUAAUUUCGAGGCUGGAUGAAUCGUGGUGGGCCAAAAAUAUGUCGUGCCCUCUUGUCGCUCGUCACGACACCAUUGUACGCGAUUCAACGAAACAUUUCCUCCUCCUCAAAAAAAAAAAUUAAAACCAUCAAAAGACGUUUAAAUCUCGCGACGAAAGAGCGUGAAGAAUCGAACAACCGUUUUCGUUCAACAACUUUCCAGCUUGGAUUCUCGUUCGGCUCCUAAGCGCACACGUGUCGUUCGUAAAAUCGGGCAACCGGUCGUUGCGAUUGAAUUUAUUCGACGUACACGUCAACGCUGAUCGUAGCCGUUAAACGACGACCACGGUUGAUAACGCGUGUGCGGCUUCGAGCCACCGCUGUCGGGAACGAAUUUCCAUAGCGCGACACCGCGAAACGGCAAUGAGGAAGUCGUCUGACCUGGCAGACCACUCGCGUAAGUUCGCACGGGCGUUAAUUUACGCCUGACCCGGAUGGCAGAGAAUCGUGGAUGACAGAGGUGCGAAACCGCGUGUGGCUACUUUUAGACGGCCGGCGUCGUAAACGUCGAUGCUCGAUUCGGUGAGUUCAUGGUCUUCGUUUCGUUGCUGCGGAAAACGUAAAUUUUAUCUUAAAGUUAGAGUUGAAGUUAAAAACGGAAAUAAAAAACACAAUUACCCCCCUUAAUCCCAGUCACCCUGAUCGUUCUCGUACACCCCGAGAACAAUUUCAUUUCCUCCUUAUCCUCGAUUUCUCUUCUCUACAUUCCUUCGUUCCCUUUCUUCCUUUCGGUAUAGCACGAUACGAUAGGAUACGUGAUUACCAGCAGCCUCCAUAGCAGCAGACAUUAUCCAGGGGUUAGGGGUCGUCCCGCCUCGACUUACCGGUCAGCCUGCGAGUAAUUGCAGUCGGCUGCAAUCCCGGGAAACCGCAUCCUGCCUUUCGUUCGUAGACGAAAAAUUGUUAGCUACGCGAAUGGAUGCAGUGUUCCGAGCCGUACUUUCGCGCGGGUACUAGAAAGUCGUAAUGGAUUCGUGUGAAGUUCGUUUA